RNAcentral lists this unclassified non-coding RNA (204 nucleotides) under Hevea brasiliensis (rubber tree). The record is from RNAcentral. Lineage: Eukaryota; Viridiplantae; Streptophyta; Magnoliopsida; Malpighiales; Euphorbiaceae.
GAGAUAGGUGGCUCUGGGAAUUUCUCCAAGUUAUGGCAAAAAGCUUUGAUGUUCUUUAUCUGCAUGCAUCUUCUCUAUAAUGUCCCUUAAAUUUUAAGUUAUAGUUUCAAUAUGCUAGAAAUCAGUUUACGUUUGGGCCUUUACCGUUUAUUUUCUCCCUGUAGAGUUAGUGUUUCCUUAAUGCAUUGAAAAGCUUUUUCCAUA